Molecule: transfer RNA, 74 nt
Filed under: Candidatus Roizmanbacteria bacterium RIFCSPHIGHO2_01_FULL_38_15
Lineage: Bacteria; Candidatus Roizmaniibacteriota
Also listed under: 2 other names
Description: tRNA-Gly
Rfam family: tRNA
About the family: Transfer RNA (tRNA) molecules are approximately 80 nucleotides in length.
Source: RNAcentral
GCGGGUGUGGUCUAAUGGCAGAAUGCGACCUUCCCAAGGUCGAGACGGGGGUUCGAUUCCCCUCACCCGCUCAA